Molecule: unclassified non-coding RNA, 273 nt
Filed under: Oidiodendron sp.
Lineage: Eukaryota; Fungi; Ascomycota; Leotiomycetes; Myxotrichaceae
Description: partial contains 5.8S ribosomal RNA, internal transcribed spacer 2, and large subunit ribosomal RNA
Rfam family: 5.8S ribosomal RNA (bases 1-71)
Source: RNAcentral
GUGAGUCAUCGAAUCUUUGAACGCACAUUGCGCCCCGCGGCAUUCCGCGGGGCAUGCCUGUUCGAGCGUCAUUGCAACCCUCAAGCGCGGCUUGGUGUUAGGCGCGGCCCCCGCGGCCGGCCUCAAAGAUAGUGGCGGCGCCGCCUGGCCCCGAGCGUAGUACGUCAAGACCCCGCUCCGGGACCUAGUGGUCGCCCGCCAGAACCCCUCCGUGGUUGACCUCGGAUCAGGUAGGGAUACCCGCUGAACUUAAGCAUAUCAAUAAGCGGAGGA